This 518-nucleotide ribosomal RNA is filed under the name Debaryomyces hansenii. RNAcentral describes it as "eukaryotic LSU rRNA". It matches the Rfam family "Eukaryotic large subunit ribosomal RNA", at positions 84 to 607 of the family's 3401-position model. Lineage: Eukaryota; Fungi; Ascomycota; Pichiomycetes; Serinales; Debaryomycetaceae. The record is from RNAcentral.
UAACGGCGAGUGAAGCGGCAAAAGCUCAAAUUUGAAAUCUGGCACCUUCGGUGUCCGAGUUGUAAUUUGAAGAAGGUAACUUUGGAGUUGGCUCUUGUCUAUGUUCCUUGGAACAGGACGUCACAGAGGGUGAGAAUCCCGUGCGAUGAGAUGCCCAAUUCUAUGUAAAGUGCUUUCGAAGAGUCGAGUUGUUUGGGAAUGCAGCUCUAAGUGGGUGGUAAAUUCCAUCUAAAGCUAAAUAUUGGCGAGAGACCGAUAGCGAACAAGUACAGUGAUGGAAAGAUGAAAAGAACUUUGAAAAGAGAGUGAAAAAGUACGUGAAAUUGUUGAAAGGGAAGGGCUUGAGAUCAGACUUGGUAUUUUGCGAUCCUUUCCUUCUUGGUUGGGUUCCUCGCAGCUUACUGGGCCAGCAUCGGUUUGGAUGGUAGGAUAAUGACUAAGGAAUGUGGCUCUACUUCGGUGGAGUGUUAUAGCCUUGGUUGAUACUGCCUGUCUAGACCGAGGACUGCGUCUUUUGA